This 75-nucleotide transfer RNA is filed under the name compost metagenome. RNAcentral describes it as "tRNA-Glu". It matches the Rfam family "tRNA". From Rfam's summary of the family: Transfer RNA (tRNA) molecules are approximately 80 nucleotides in length. Their secondary structure includes four short double-helical elements and three loops (D, anti-codon, and T loops). The record is from RNAcentral.
GGCGGUAUCGUCUAACGGUUAGGACGGAUGGUUCUCAACCAUCAAAUCGGGGUUCGAUUCCCCGUACCGGUACCA